GUGAAAGCCCAGCUUGCUGGGUGGAUCAGUGGCGAACGGGUGAGUAACACGUGAGCAAUCUGCCCCUGACUCUGGGAUAAGCGCUGGAAACGGCGUCUAAUACUGGAUACGAGCUGCGAUCGCAUGGUCAGUAGCUGGAAAGAUUUUUUGGUCAGGGAUGAGCUCGCGGCCUAUCAGCUUGUUGGUGAGGUAAUGGCUCACCAAGGCGUCGACGGGUAGCCGGCCUGAGAGGGUGACCGGCCACACUGGGACUGAGACACGGCCCAGACUCCUACGGGAGGCAGCAGUGGGGAAUAUUGCACAAUGGGCGCAAGCCUGAUGCAGCAACGCCGCGUGAGGGAUGACGGCCUUCGGGUUGUAAACCUCUUUUAGCAGGGAAGAAGCGAAAGUGACGGUACCUGCAGAAAAAGCGCCGGCUAACUACGUGCCAGCAGCCGCGGUAAUACGUAGGGCGCAAGCGUUAUCCGGAAUUAUUGGGCGUAAAGAGCUCGUAGGCGGUUUGUCGCGUCUGCUGUGAAAUCCCGAGGCUCAACCUCGGGUCUGCAGUGGGUACGGGCAGACUAGAGUGCGGUAGGGGAGAUUGGAAUUCCUGGUGUAGCGGUGGAAUGCGCAGAUAUCAGGAGGAACACCGAUGGCGAAGGCAGAUCUCUGGGCCGUAACUGACGCUGAGGAGCGAAAGGGUGGGGAGCAAACAGGCUUAGAUACCCUGGUAGUCCACCCCGUAAACGUUGGGAACUAGUUGUGGGGUCCAUUCCACGGAUUCCGUGACGCAGCUAACGCAUUAAGUUCCCCGCCUGGGGGAGUACGGCCGCAAGGCUAAAACUCAAAGGAAUUGACGGGGACCCGCACAAGCGGCGGAGCAUGCGGAUUAAUUCGAUGCAACGCGAAGAACCUUACCAAGGCUUGACAUACACCAGAACACCGUAGAAAUACGGGACUCUUUGGACACUGGUGAACAGGUGGUGGCAUGGUUGUCGUCAGCUCGUGUCCUGAGAAUGUUGGGGUUAAGUCCCGCAACGAGCGCAACCCUCGUUCUAUGUUG
This 1042-nucleotide ribosomal RNA is filed under the name marine bacterium AK16_058. RNAcentral describes it as "bacterial SSU rRNA". It matches the Rfam family "Bacterial small subunit ribosomal RNA", at positions 68 to 1117 of the family's 1533-position model. The record is from RNAcentral.